GCCACUGUUGAUGCAAUCCAAUCACCAGCUACAACAGGGCCGUGCUUUCCAUCACUAGGGAGGAAUUAUUUUCUCCAAGCUGUGUCAGAUACGGAUCAUCAUAACACACUGACCCUUCUUCAAGCGCAGAAAUGAAGAAGGCCUUUCCAUUCACAAUGGCAACAGCUCCAAUAGGCAGUGCAGGGAUUUAAAGCUAAACAGGCCAAACACAAGGCCCAUCACCAUUCGGCCUCUCAAAGUGAGCCAAACUUCCCUAUCUCUCACUUUAUUUUGCAAGGCCAAUAUUUGAGCAACCAAGCACAGUCGAUAUUAAAUAAAAAAUCGAGCCCACAGCUUAGUCCAGUGCCGAAUUCACCGUUAGCCAAAUAACCCUUCAUUGGUAAUGGAGUUCACCCACUCUCCCCCAAUGAAAAUCAGGGAAAACAACAAAACGGCAGAGUUCUCCACCCGACUGAAGUUUGGCAGCCCCUAAAGAAAAAACAGCAAAGAAAUCAAUCUAAGCGUGAACCAAACUCUUAGCCCCGAACCCAUCCCUGAUGACUCUGUUAUGGCAAACAUGCUAAUGGAAAUGCAAUCUAGUGCCAUGGGGAAAACCAAGA
This is a long non-coding RNA of Juglans microcarpa x Juglans regia, 599 nucleotides long. RefSeq lists it as uncharacterized. The transcript is spliced from 2 exons. NCBI's taxonomy places the organism in Eukaryota, Viridiplantae, Streptophyta, Magnoliopsida, Fagales, Juglandaceae. The record is from RefSeq and is a predicted model, not a curated record.